UACGGAGGGUGCAAGCGUUAUUCGGAAUUAUUGGGCGUAAAGGGCGCGUAGGCGGCUUGGCAAGUGGAAGGUGAAAUCCCUCGGCUUAACCGAGGAACUGCCCUCCAAACUGCUUCGCUUGAGACCGGGAGAGGUGAGUGGAAUUCCCAGUGUAGCGGUGAAAUGCGUAGAUAUUGGGAGGAACACCAGUGGCGAAGGCGGCUCACUGGACCGGUACUGACGCUGAUGCGCGAAAGCGUGGGGAGCAAACGGG
RNAcentral lists this ribosomal RNA (253 nucleotides) under uncultured bacterium. RNAcentral's name for it is "partial 16S ribosomal RNA". It matches the Rfam family "Bacterial small subunit ribosomal RNA", at positions 524 to 776 of the family's 1533-position model. The record is from RNAcentral.